RNAcentral lists this ribosomal RNA (406 nucleotides) under uncultured bacterium. RNAcentral's name for it is "partial 16S ribosomal RNA". It matches the Rfam family "Bacterial small subunit ribosomal RNA", at positions 30 to 526 of the family's 1533-position model. The record is from RNAcentral.
AUUGAACGCUGGCGGCAGGCCUAACACAUGCAAGUCGAGCGAGCGGCGGACGGGUGAGUAAUGUAUCGGGAUGUGCCCGGUAGAGGGGGAUAACUACUGGAAACGGUGGCUAAUACCGCAUACUAUAGGAUCAACCCAUAUGGGAUGAGCUAGUAGGUGGGGUAAAGGCUCACCAAGGCGACGAUCCCUAGCUGGUUUGAGAGGAUGAUCAGCCACACUGGGACUGAGACACGGCCCAGACUCCUACGGGAGGCAGCAGUGGGGAAUAUUGGACAAUGGGCGAAAGCCUGAUUCAGCCAUGCCGCGUGUAUGAUGAAGGCCUUCGGGUUGUAAAGUACUUUCGGCGGGGAGGCGUUACCCGCAGAAGAAGCACCGGCUAACUCCGUGCCAGCAGCCGCGGUAAUUC